UCGAACGGCAGCACGGGGCAACCUGGUGGCGAGUGGCGAACGGGUGAGUAAUAUAUCGGAACAUACCCUAGAGUGGGGGAUAACGUAGCGAAAGUUACGCUAAUACCGCAUACGACCUAAGGGUGAAAGUGGGGGAUCGCAAGACCUCAUGCUCAUGGAGCGGCCGAUAUCUGAUUAGCUAGUUGGUGGGGUAAAGGCUCACCAAGGCAACGAUCAGUAGCUGGUCUGAGAGGACGACCAGCCACACUGGAACUGAGACACGGUCCAGACUCCUACGGGAGGCAGCAGUGGGGAAUUUUGGACAAUGGGGGCAACCCUGAUCCAGCAAUGCCGCGUGAGUGAAGAAGGCCUUCGGGUUGUAAAGCUCUUUUGUCAGGGAAGAAACGGUUGGGGCUAAUAUCCCCGGCUAAUGACGGUACCUGAAGAAUAAGCACCGGCUAACUACGUGCCAGCAGCCGCGGUAAUACGUAGGGUGCAAGCGUUAAUCGGAUUUACUGGGCGUAAAGCGUGCGUAGGCGGUCUUUUAAGUCGGAUGUGAAAUCCCUGAGCUUAACUUAGGAAUUGCAUUCGAUACUGGGAGACUAGAGUAUGGGAGAGGAUGGUAGAAUUCCAGGUGUAGCGGUGAAAUGCGUAGAGAUCUGGAGGAAUACCGAUGGCGAAGGCAGCCAUCUGGCCUAAUACUGACACUGAGGUACGAAAGCAUGGGGAGCAAACAGGAUUAGAUACCCUGGUAGUCCAUGCCGUAAACGAUGUCUACUAGCCGUUGGGGCCUUUGAGGCUUUAGUGGCGCAGCUAACGCGAUAAGUAGACCGCCUGGGGAGUACGGUCGCAAGACUAAAACUCAAAUGAAUUGACGGGGGCCCGCACAAGCGGUGGA
This 877-nucleotide ribosomal RNA is filed under the name uncultured bacterium. RNAcentral describes it as "bacterial SSU rRNA". It matches the Rfam family "Bacterial small subunit ribosomal RNA", at positions 62 to 936 of the family's 1533-position model. The record is from RNAcentral.